Molecule: ribosomal RNA, 112 nt
Filed under: Caerostris darwini
Lineage: Eukaryota; Metazoa; Arthropoda; Arachnida; Araneae; Araneidae
Source: RNAcentral
AACGGUCAUACCAUAGUGAAUAUACCGGUUCUCGUUAGAUCACAGAAGCCAAGCAUCAUUGGGCGCGUUCAGUACUUGGGUGGGUGACCACCUGGGAACACCGCGUGCCGUU